AGCGAACGCUGGCGGCAUGCCUAACACAUGCAAGUCGCACGGUCGGGGGGGUGACCUUCGGCAGUGGCGGACGGGUGAGUAACGCGUAGGGAUCUAUCCUUGGAUGGGGGACAACCGCGGGAAACCGCGGCUAAUACCGCAUGAUGCCUGAGGGCCAAAAGCUCGCGAGAGCGUCUGGGGAGGAGCCUGCGUCCGAUUAGCUUGUUGGUGGGUAACGGCCCACCAAGGCGUCGAUCGGUAGCUGGUCUGAGAGGAUGAUCAGCCACACUGGGGACUGAGACACGGCCCAGACGCCUACGGGAGGCAGCAGUGGGGAAUAUUGGACAAUGGGCGCAAGCCUGAUCCAGCAAUGCCG
RNAcentral lists this ribosomal RNA (355 nucleotides) under uncultured bacterium. RNAcentral's name for it is "bacterial SSU rRNA". It matches the Rfam family "Bacterial small subunit ribosomal RNA", at positions 30 to 399 of the family's 1533-position model. The record is from RNAcentral.